Xiphias gladius (swordfish) is the source of this 3332-nucleotide long non-coding RNA. RefSeq lists it as uncharacterized. The transcript has 3 exons. The record is from RefSeq and is a predicted model, not a curated record. Lineage: Eukaryota; Metazoa; Chordata; Actinopteri; Istiophoriformes; Xiphiidae.
UUCACAGCCGACCCGGUAAGGAUCGUUCCGGACUUGUUGGUCAGCCACUGCGGGACAGCAGACCGGGUCUGCCGGGGUCCGGGCUCUGGGUAUCUGGGGCUUGUGACGUUGUCAGAGACACUGAACGACCGGUUGUCAUGUGUGAUGCUGCGGCUGAAUCCAGUUUCCAUCCGGACUGGACCGCUCCUCGUUCAGGUCCAAAGUGAGUACGCCUGUGUUACGUCCUCUGGUGGUUUCCGUUUAGCUGAGCACCGGAGAAAACUGCUCAACCUCGCGUCAUAACGUGCCUGAGGAGACCUGGUCCCGCACCACGAUUCUAGGAACAUUUCCAGGUCGUGAGCCGCGGCAGAAAUUUCGCCCGCCAUCAGUUUGAAAAUCAACUCAUCACUUGAGAAAUUUCUUAGACAACUGAAAACCGAAGGGCUCCAGCUUCAUCCUGCGCCUUGAGGAGAAAACGACCUGACUCGUCACCAGUCGGUAUCGGACAGAAUCCGUCCGCAGACAAACCUUCAUUCGCACUUUGACCUUUGACCCUUUUCUGGACACGUGGCUACUCACAGCUCGUGGAGGCUGCGGAGGUCGGGGAGCACGUGGGCAGGCAGAGCAGACAGCUCGUUCAUACUCAGAUCCCUGAAACAAACAGGCAACAAACAGCGUGUCAGCACAUCUGUCCAGCUGUUCACCUCAUGGCACAGGUAUGUUUCAGAGAGAGAGUCACAGUCGGUGUCUGAGUCAGUGCUGUGAAGGACAAGGGCACCGGAAACCAGAGACUACAUUAGCGGCUCUGCUGAGGUGUCUCAAUGACUCUGCGUCACGUUUAUUUCAGGGGUUACAGACGCAGCAGGGACACGACUCGUGAAUCAAUGACAAUAGAGUACAUAUUAAAAGUGUGUGUUUUCGGAGAAACUCCAGAGAAAUGAUUGACUGUUUUUAUUAUGAUCAAUUCAAUCAGUUAAUUAUGUCCCGCUGGGUUUGUAACAUCCAAUUCACGAUGAAAAAAAGUGAGAAAGGUAAAGAAGAAAAAAGAGGAAAACCACUAACGAUUUGUCCUUCAGAGUCAAAAGCUUUUUCCUUUUUCUAACCAACGCGCGACGGCCUGCAGCUGCCGAGUCCCCGAGACAGAAACGCCGCGCUUCAGUUCUCUCUCAUCUGUCGGUCCGUUUAUUCAUGUAGGUCCUGGACAAGGCGCUAAAAUAAUUUUAUGAACAAGAUUUAAUUACGUUUUAUUUAGAUUCUUGUACUAAAUGAUUUUUUUAAUCAGCGUGUUUUAUGUAUUUUACAAGGAAAUUCCUUCAGUGCGAGAGGAUUUGCUCCUUCAGGAAUCCGUAAAAUCCACCUCGACCUCGUCUCCUCGGCCUGCGGUGCUAAUGUAAAAACUGAGCAACCCCGACUCUUUAAACUAUAUUUGUGAACAAAAAAUGUACAUGAAUAUUAUUAUUUAUUUGCAUUUUUCCUUUUUACCACUUAGUUUGACGCAGUAUUUUAAUCAUAAACAGACGGAUCAGGGCCACAGCUUUGUGCCUCCACAUUUAUUUUCUGGUUGAAGAUGUUUUUCAGUCUCCCGUCUGUGUUUCCAUCCAGCCGCACUUUUACUCUCAGUCUUACUCUUUCACAAAUCUGCUGUCUGAAAUUUGUAAAACUCGGAUUUGAAUGAAUUUAAAUAAUUAAAUUACAGACAAACCAUUUUUUUUCUCUCACUGUGAACAGAGAGGAGGAGUUCUUUGAAAAACUGUUUUUCGCUCUUUGUCAGUUCCUCAAACAGCUUCAGUCGCAUAAGAAACUCCUGCUGUUCCAGAUAUGAAUUAUCCUCUUUACCAACCGACAUGAUUUACGGUGCUUUAAAACCUUUUUGUCUGGUUUUGUUCUAAAACCAUCCAUCACUCGGUUUCCAGUACAACACCCUGUUCGCGUUUUCUCAAUUUAAAUCCUUGUUUAACCCUAAAAUCCACAGAGAUUCUACUAAAAUCUACUUUUCUAACUGAUGUUUGUUAAAAAGCUAAAAUUAAAUGUUACAAAUAUUGAGCUGCUUAAUUUGAAAGUAACUGAAGAUUUUUAAUCUAACUGUGGUUAUACAAUCCCAGUUGCGGCCUUGAAAAUCCCUGCACAUGGUAUUUUUCAUUAGGUUGUGUCUUAUUAAAAAUAUUCUAAAAUAUUUAACAGUUUUUGAAGAUUGAUUUCAGGUGUUUAUCCCUUUUUAAAACUCUUCACACAGUCACAACGGCAGCAGUUAAUGUGGACUAAAGACCACAUCUUUGAAAAUUCACCACCAAACCUCUGUAUUUAGACUCCAUUUUAAACAUACUGUGUAAAAACUCCUGCAUUUACAUUAAAAACUUAAAAACACAACUGAAAAUGACUGUAAAUUAGACUUUUAAAUUAGACAUUUGCUACAUCUACAGCUAAAAAAAAAUAGUGAACUAAAAUAAAGAUACAGAAAGGGAUAAUUAGGCCAUAAAACACGGACGCCUCCUUUCAUUCCUGUCUUGUUGGGACACAUCUCAGGGUCUGAUCCCGAGAUGUGUGUGAAGAUGAAGAUUCGUAUAGAGGAAUACUGUACGUGUAACCGGGACCAAAGAAAAACAAGAAAACCAGUGAAUGAAACAGAAAUCGUCUCAUUGACAGUACAGAAACGUCAGGACUUGAUGGAGACUUGAUUCCUUUAUGAGGUUUCUUUUUUUGGUUUUUCUUAUGUCAGCGGGUUUCAAGCUCACACGUCUCCCGUGUACCGGGACCUCAAUCUUACCAACAGUUAAACUCGGUGAAACAGGUGAGAACUGUGUGAAACUGGCUGGAAACUCACAGUAUGUACGAGGGUCAGCGUCGGCACCAUAAAACCUCGGCAGGGAAUCGACCUGCAGUUUCAGUACUGUCAGUAAAAGUGUGAUUUUUCCAGAAACGGAGCUCUGCUUCAGUGGCCUGACUGAAUGACUGAAGCUAAGUGCUGCGGGAAUCUUUUAAAUAUUUUAUUUCAAAAUUUUUUUUGUCACAAUAAAAUGUGAAAAACACAAAAUGCUUUACAAACUUGUUGAUGAAUCUGUAAAUGGUUCAAAUCCAACAAAGAGAAAAGUGAGACUGCAACAAAAGUUUUGGUGCUAAAGAUAAAUUUCACAUUAAUGUGAAAUUAUUCAAAUGUUGACUAUACUUAUUUAAAGCAUUGGUCUUUCAAAUUCUAUUUUGAAUUAACACCAUCACAUAUUUUGGCCACAUUUUUUCUACGUCCUUUGAUUUAGUCAGCAGGAUUUUCUCUGAGGCCGAGGACACAGUUUUUCUAUAAUUCAAUCUUAAAUGUGAGGGAGAAAACGUAGAACGAGACUUUUACCUGGUUCAGUAAG